UGCCGAGUCCAGUACAAUUGCAUGCUGUGAACCAUGUCAGGUCCGGAAGGAAGCAGCAUUAAGCGGAUUAUGUGAUGUGAUACUGUAAACUCGGCACUU
Molecule: signal recognition particle RNA, 99 nt
Filed under: Candidatus Cloacimonadota bacterium
Lineage: Bacteria; Pseudomonadati; Candidatus Cloacimonadota
Description: signal recognition particle sRNA small type
Rfam family: Bacterial small signal recognition particle RNA
About the family: The signal recognition particle (SRP) is a universally conserved ribonucleoprotein involved in the co-translational targeting of proteins to membranes. Archaeal SRP consists of a 7S RNA and homologues of the eukaryotic SRP19 and SRP54 proteins. In most bacteria, the SRP consists of a 4.5S RNA and the Ffh protein (a homologue of the eukaryotic SRP54 protein).
Source: RNAcentral